GGGGUUGUAGCUCAGUGGUAGAGCACUUGCCUUUUUUGCUUGAGGCCCUGGGUUCGAUCCUCAGCACCA
Molecule: transfer RNA, 69 nt
Filed under: Ictidomys tridecemlineatus (thirteen-lined ground squirrel)
Lineage: Eukaryota; Metazoa; Chordata; Mammalia; Rodentia; Sciuridae
Description: Spermophilus tridecemlineatus (thirteen-lined ground squirrel) tRNA
Rfam family: tRNA
About the family: Transfer RNA (tRNA) molecules are approximately 80 nucleotides in length. Their secondary structure includes four short double-helical elements and three loops (D, anti-codon, and T loops).
Source: Rfam by way of RNAcentral